AUGGCGACUGUCAUGAAUCACGAAGCAACUCUCCAGGUGACUUGGGGUAACCCCUGGGAGAUCUCUGCAGUACCCCUGGUCGUGAACCACCGACGUGCCCUGGGCAGAGCGGAGAUCCAGCAGCCCGUUUCCGCAGAGGCGGUGGAGGGAGAGAAAUUGACCCUGUUUUGCAAUCACCCUGACGUGGCCACCGAGAAGAUAAUGUGGUACCGCCACGUCCCCAGCGAGGCACCGCGGUUUUUGGCAGGUGGAUUCAGGGGAGAGACUCCCGGCACCGAAGCGGGCGGCACUUUAUACAUCGCUCAGAACAAAGCGUCCAGUGUCUUUGAGUUCCGCAGGGUGCGACUGGCGGACGCAGCUGUGUAUUACUGUGCUCUGAGCUACACAGCGUGA
Molecule: non-coding RNA, 393 nt
Organism: Emys orbicularis (European pond turtle)
Lineage: Eukaryota; Metazoa; Chordata; Testudines; Emydidae
Source: the annotation of a RefSeq genome assembly